RNA transcript from Ricinus communis (castor bean), 2140 nucleotides. It is a transcript of the gene named protein RKD5, with no coding region annotated. The record is from RefSeq and is a predicted model, not a curated record. The transcript is spliced from 7 exons. NCBI's taxonomy places the organism in Eukaryota, Viridiplantae, Streptophyta, Magnoliopsida, Malpighiales, Euphorbiaceae.
AUGCCAAAAUGCAAUCUGCAUAGCCAUAGAAAAAAAAUGAUUAAUAUUCUAACUCUUAAUCCUUUAUGCAUGUGAGAUUGAAUGAUUAGACUAAUAUAAUAAAUUCAUUUGCAAUUCCGUAUGUGAGAAACUGUCAGAAAGCAAGUUCAUGCUUUUCUUUUUCGUACAGAAAAUUUGAUGGCGCACAUAUAAAAAAAGAUAGUGAGCUUUAUACAACAGUUUUGGAACUUGAAUUCCUCUGCUGGGUUUAUAUCAAUGGCUACAAUUAUCUAAAAUAUAAACAUGGGUCUUUUUGUUUUCUGUUAGGCAAUGUUUAAAUAUAUUGGGAAGAAAAAUAAAAAAACUAGAGAGAGAGAGAGAGAGAGAAUGUGUAUUUAUUUGGGUAGGCUGGAGCUAGAGCUGCAGCUGGAGGUGACACCAACUUAAAAAAGAUCAUGCAAACUUGUUGUAGACACUCAGUUCUUUUGCCUUCUUCAAUUCAAUCUACCUAAUAGUAAUAACUAUAUUUCUGUUUUAUGCUGCUUCUUUAAUAAUCAUGGUCUCCUCUCCAUCAUGGAUAUUUCUCAAGAUAACUCUUUAACAUCUCUUUUAGUCUUCCAAAACACCAUCAACAGAGAGUUAAUCAGGAGUUUGCAUGUGUACCGGUUGGAGGAUGAGAAAGAAAAAGAAGUAGAAAGAGAGUUUCUUUUUGCUUUGGAUAGUCCAUAUGUUGAAAUGGCAGCAAACCCACUUCUCAGGAUGGUGAAAUUUCGGGUCAUGGAGCUUCUUGAAGGGCAAGUGAUCGGUUUAUGGCUCUGCAUUUUUGCAUUUCAUGUUGAUCAUCCUCCUCAUUUGAUCCACAUUCCUUCUUUACUCUCAAUGUCUAGAAACCCCAAGCUGAAAUCAAUUCCAACACUGGCCAAUGAUCUCCAAUUAAUUUUCAAGUUGAGCUGCAGAACAGCAGAUGAAGAGUCAUUGCAAUUUUUCUUCCAGGGAAAAUGCAAAAGAGACAGAGGAGAUUGCUAUCAGUCUAAGAGAAGUCUGCCUGUGUUAGAUCAGGAUCUAAACUGCCUUCCUUAUUCAGGUCCUACAUCUGAAUUAUCAAGAAAGCAACAAAUUGAAUUGAGAGAUCCAGGUAGAGCAGCAAAGAAGAAAAAAAGAGCAGCCACUGAAGACAUAGCUAGAAUUGCAUUAGAAGAUCUUGUCAAGUACUUUGAUCUUCCUAUUGUGGAAGCUUCAAGAAAUCUGAAAGUUGGACUUACAGUGCUGAAGAGGAAGUGUAGGGAAUUCGGUAUUCCCCGUUGGCCUCAUAGGAAGAUCAAAUCCCUUGACAGUCUCAUUCGUAAUCUCCAGGAAGAGGCAGAACGACAAAAGCAAGAGAAUGAGGAUGCUGCUAUGGCUGUGGCAAAGAGGCAAAGAAUGUUGGAGAGGGAAAAGGAAACUAUAGAGAGGAAACCAUUCAUGGAGAUACAAAGCGAGACGAAGAGAUUCCGGCAAGAUGUUUUCAAGAGAAGGCAUAGAGCUAGAGCACUUAAAAACCAGGGCUUAUGAAUCUCUCUCUAUGAAUUGGGAAGAAAUUGGACAAUAUGAGCAGAACUAUUUUAUUUAAAAUCUGAGAACCCUUAAUACCAUAUGUACAGCUUGAAGAAGAUGUUACAAUGGGGUGUCUGCUGACCCAUACAUGACUGCUUACUUACAUCUUAUUACAAGGCACAUGGAAGAGUUGACCAAUAUUACAAGGUCAACUUUGAGGUCAACAAGUGGCGUUGAAUAUCCUCUGAAUGCUGGUUACAUGUGGGAGGACACAGAAACAAGAAUCAGAAUGUGAUGAUACAUUGUCAUGGGGUGAAGACCCAACAGCUAAAAGAACCUGACGUGCAGGGAGGUGGUUAGGCUGGUUCAAAGCCUCAAUUGAAAGGACUUCAAUUUUGGAGUAGGAACACACAUGACAACCAUAAAGUCCACCAGCUUUGACUACCUUUCUAUGUCCCUCAAUAUUGCCAUUAACUAAGAAAAUGAUAUGCAGCUUGACAAAUGUAUACCAAUCAUAUAAUCUCAUUUCACCGGAAUUCAAAUUAUUCAUACAUACAGUUCUCUGUAGUCUACUCUUGCCACCAAACUGAUUUUAUUAUUAGAAAAAAAUUAUAAUUUAAUAGAAGUA